CAGUAGCCGCGGUAAUACGUAGGGUGCAAGCGUUAAUCGGAAUUACUGGGCGUAAAGCGUGCGCAGGCGGUUUGUUAAGACAGAUGUGAAAUCCCCGGGCUCAACCUGGGAACUGCAUUUGUGACUGGCAGGCUAGAGUAUGGCAGAGGGGGGUGGAAUUCCGCGUGUAGCAGUGAAAUGCGUAGAUAUGCGGAGGAACACCGAUGGCGAAGGCAGCCCCCUGGGCCAAUACUGACGCUCAUGCACGAAAGCGUGGGGAGCAAACAGGAUUAGAUACCCCCGUAGUCCCUGUCUCUUAUAC
This 301-nucleotide ribosomal RNA is filed under the name uncultured bacterium. RNAcentral describes it as "partial 16S ribosomal RNA". It matches the Rfam family "Bacterial small subunit ribosomal RNA", at positions 509 to 807 of the family's 1533-position model. The record is from RNAcentral.